Mauremys reevesii (Reeves's turtle) is the source of this 457-nucleotide long non-coding RNA. RefSeq lists it as uncharacterized. NCBI's taxonomy places the organism in Eukaryota, Metazoa, Chordata, Testudines, Geoemydidae. The transcript has 3 exons. The record is from RefSeq and is a predicted model, not a curated record.
UUGCAACUCAUUGUUCCUUGCUGCACCCUCCUUUCUUGUAGCUGAAAAAAAAGGGUUGUGUGGCUGGUAUGGCAAGGCAGGCUAUUCACACCUAUCUAUCAAAGUAACCUGAGAGUAUAACAGACACCCAAAGAAAGGAGGGGAAGCUUCAUUGACACGGAGCAUAACAGGCAGCCCGGCUGUGCGACUGGAAGAAGUGGGAGAUAAAGAAGAGGUGAGCAUUACUAUCAACAGUUGGGAAACAGCAUGGUCAAACUAUGACAUAGCACACUGAAGAAAAAGGAAAGAGAGACAGAUGGCAAUGUGGUGUAUGGGUAGGGCCAAGGAGCUGGCCCCUUGGUACUAUGGCAAUGAGCACAGUAUAAAUGCCUGAAACCCAGCUAGUCAGAAGACCUGGUUUCUAUUCUAGACUCUGCCAUCUGACCCUGGACAAGAUACUGAACCUCUGUCUACCUCA